GACCAUAUUUUUUCUUCACCUCUCUAUGGUCGCGGCUG
Molecule: non-coding RNA, 38 nt
Filed under: unclassified sequences
Description: S4-Bacteroidia ribosomal protein leader
Rfam family: S4-Bacteroidia ribosomal protein leader
Source: RNAcentral